UACGUAGGUGGCAAGCGUUGUCCGGAUUUACUGGGUGUAAAGGGCGUGCAGCCGGGCUGACAAGUCAGAUGUGAAAUCCUAUGGCUUAACCAUAGAACUGCAUUUGAAACUGUUAUUCUAGAGUAUGGGAGAGGUAGGUGGAAUUCUUGGUGUAGGGGUAAAAUCCGUAGAGAUCAAGAGGAAUACUCAUUGCGAAGGCGACCUGCUAGAACAUAACUGACGCUGAUGCGCGAAAGCGUGGGGAGCAAACAGG
This 253-nucleotide ribosomal RNA is filed under the name uncultured Helicobacteraceae bacterium. Its description in RNAcentral is "partial 16S ribosomal RNA". It matches the Rfam family "Bacterial small subunit ribosomal RNA", at positions 524 to 776 of the family's 1533-position model. Lineage: Bacteria; Pseudomonadati; Campylobacterota; Epsilonproteobacteria; Campylobacterales; Helicobacteraceae. The record is from RNAcentral.